UACGUAGGGGGCAAGCGUUAUCCGGAUUUACUGGGUGUAAAGGGAGCGUAGGCGGCGCAGCAAGUCAGAUGUGAAAGCCCGGGGCUUAACCCCGGUACUGCAUUUGAAACUGUCGUGCUAGAGUAUCGGAGAGGCAUGUGGAAUUCCUAGUGUAGCGGUGAAAUGCUUAGAUAUUAGGAAGAACACCAGUGGCGAAGGCGGCAUGCUGGACGAUAACUGACGCUGAGGCUCGAAAGCGUGGGGAGCAAAC
RNAcentral lists this ribosomal RNA (250 nucleotides) under uncultured prokaryote. Its description in RNAcentral is "partial 16S ribosomal RNA". It matches the Rfam family "Bacterial small subunit ribosomal RNA", at positions 524 to 773 of the family's 1533-position model. The record is from RNAcentral.